AGGGUUUGAUCAUGGCUCAGGAUGAACGCUGGCGGUAUGUCUAAGGCAUGCAAGUCUAAGGUGCUUUUCGGAGUGCCUGGCAAACGGGAGAGUAACACAUUGGUAACCUGCCCUUAACUCAAGUAUAACUCCGUGAAAAUGGAGACAAUCCUUGAUAGUCCCUCUAGUAUACGCAAGAUUACUUGAGGGUAAAGAUUUAUCGGUUAAGGAUGGGCCUAUGGCUUAUCAGCUAGUUGGUGAGGUAAUAGCUCACCAAGGCAAUGACGAGUAGCGGGUGUGAGAGCAUGAUCCGCCUCACUGGGACUGAGACACUGCCCAGACUCCUACGGGAGGCUGCAGUCAAGAAUCUUCCGCAAUGGCCGCAAGGCUGACGGAGCAAUACCGCGUGAAGGAUGACACCCCUCGGGGCGUAAACUUCUUUUCUUAGGGAAGAAUUAGUGACGUUACCUAAGGAAUAAGCGACUGCUAACUUCGUGCCAGCAGCAGCGGUAAUACGAAGGUCGCAAGCGUUAUCCGGAAUUAUUGGGCGUAAAGAGUCUGUAGGUUGUCUGUUAAGUUUCAAAUUAAAACUCUGAGCUCAACUCAGAGAUUGUUUGAAAAACUGUCAGACUAGAGAAUGGGAGAGGUAAGCGGAAUGGCCGGUGUAGUAGUAAUAUGCAUUAAUAUCGGCUAGAACA
Molecule: ribosomal RNA, 677 nt
Filed under: uncultured bacterium
Lineage: Bacteria
Description: bacterial SSU rRNA
Rfam family: Bacterial small subunit ribosomal RNA
Source: RNAcentral